RNAcentral lists this ribosomal RNA (359 nucleotides) under uncultured bacterium. RNAcentral describes it as "bacterial SSU rRNA". It matches the Rfam family "Bacterial small subunit ribosomal RNA", at positions 29 to 414 of the family's 1533-position model. The record is from RNAcentral.
AACGAACGCUGGCGGCAUGCCUAACACAUGCAAGUCGAACGCGUGUAGCAAUACAUGAGUGGCGGACGGGUGAGUAACGCGUGGGAACCUGCCCAGUGGUAGGGAAUAACUGCGGGAAACUGCAGCUAAUACCCUAUACGCCCUUUGGGGGAAAGAUUCAUCGCCAUUGGAGGGGCCCGCGUCGGAUUAGCUAGUUGGCGGGGUAACGGCCCACCAAGGCAACGAUCCGUAGCUGGCUGAGAGGAUGAUCAGCCACACUGGGACUUAGACACGGCCCAGACUCCUACGGGAGGCAGCAGUGGGGAAUAUUGGACAAGUGGGGCAACCCUGAUCCAGCAAUGCCGCGUGAGUGAUGAAGG